This 77-nucleotide transfer RNA is filed under the name Pectobacterium phage DU_PP_V. RNAcentral's name for it is "tRNA-Gln". It matches the Rfam family "tRNA". From Rfam's summary of the family: Transfer RNA (tRNA) molecules are approximately 80 nucleotides in length. Lineage: Duplodnaviria; Heunggongvirae; Uroviricota; Caudoviricetes; Demerecviridae. The record is from RNAcentral.
UGGGAAUUGGUGUAACAGGUUAGCACAUGGGCCUUUGACUCCCAUAGAGCCAGGUUCAAGUCCUGCAUUCCCUGCCA